This 520-nucleotide ribosomal RNA is filed under the name uncultured bacterium. Its description in RNAcentral is "bacterial SSU rRNA". It matches the Rfam family "Bacterial small subunit ribosomal RNA", at positions 120 to 674 of the family's 1533-position model. The record is from RNAcentral.
GGGAAUCUACCUUUUGCUACGGAAUAACUCAGGGAAACUUGUGCUAAUACCGUAUGUGUCCUUCGGGAGAAAGAUUUAUCGGCAAAGGAUGAGCCCGCGUUGGAUUAGCUAGUUGGUGGGGUAAAGGCCUACCAAGGCGACGAUCCAUAGCUGGUCUGAGAGGAUGAUCAGCCACAUUGGGACUGAGACACGGCCCAAACUCCUACGGGAGGCAGCAGUGGGGAAUAUUGGACAAUGGGCGCAAGCCUGAUCCAGCCAUGCCGCGUGAGUGAUGAAGGCCUUAGGGUUGUAAAGCUCUUUCACCGGAGAAGAUAAUGACGGUAUCCGGAGAAGAAGCCCCGGCUAACUUCGUGCCAGCAGCCGCGGUAAUACGAAGGGGGCUAGCGUUGUUCGGAAUUACUGGGCGUAAAGCGCACGUAGGCGGAUAUUUAAGUCAGGGGUGAAAUCCCAGAGCUCAACUCUGGAACUGCCUUUGAUACUGGGUAUCUUGAGUAUGGAAGAGGUAAGUGGAAUUGCGAGU